AUGAUCUCGAACACUAGAGAGAGAGAGAGAGAGAGAGAGAGAGAGAGAGAUGUUUGGAAAUGGUAAAACAUCUGCUGUGGGAAUCUGGAUCGGAUUGAUAAUGCUAUGUUUAGUUGUGGGGGAAGUACGUGCAGUAAAAUCAUGUGAAUUCAAAUGCGCUUUGCAAUGCAUUUUUAAACCUGCGAAAUGCUACAAUCAGUGUGUCAACGCUAAAUGUCAUGGUAGUGGUAGUACCGUUACUACCGCCGGUGGAUGUGCUUUCGCUUGUACAAAAGAGAAGUGCAUCAAAUUUGCACCCGAUUUGAAGAAAAUUGAAGUCUGUGCCCAAACUUGUGCCGAUAACUGCAACCUCAAAUAGUACUACAGUUGUUCUUGUAGUAGCAAUGUUGAGUUUUCGAUUUACGCAAUAAAUUUCUCUCUGUAGAUUCAUCAAUCCUUAGAGAAAGUAUGUGCUAUAUGGAGGGGCAAUGAUAAACCUCAAUAUAUAAAUUACAAUGAAAAUAAUGCGAAUUUGAUUAAUGAAUGCUUAAUUACAAUAA
Long non-coding RNA from Rhododendron vialii, 539 nucleotides. RefSeq lists it as uncharacterized. The record is from RefSeq and is a predicted model, not a curated record. The transcript is spliced from 2 exons. Lineage: Eukaryota; Viridiplantae; Streptophyta; Magnoliopsida; Ericales; Ericaceae.